UGCGGUAUGGGAUGAGCUCGCGGCCUAUCAGCUUGUUGGUGGGGUAAUGGCCUACCAAGGCGUCGACGGGUAGCCGGCCUGAGAGGGUGUACGGCCACAUUGGGACUGAGAUACGGCCCAGACUCCUACGGGAGGCAGCAGUGGGGAAUAUUGCACAAUGGGCGCAAGCCUGAUGCAGCGACGCCGCGUGGGGGAUGACGGCCUUCGGGUUGUAAACUCCUUUCGCAACCGACGAAGCUUUUGUGACGGUAGGUUGAGAAGAAGCACCGGCUAACUACGUGCCAGCAGCCGCGGUAAUACGUAGGGUGCGAGCGUUGUCCGGAAUUACUGGGCGUAAAGAGCUCGUAGGUGGUUUGUCGCGUCGUUUGUGGAAUACCGCAGCUUAACUGCGGGGUUGCAGGCGAUACGGGCAUAACUUGAGUGCUGUAGGGGAGACUGGAAUUCCUGGUGUAGCGGUGGAAUGCGCAGAUAUCAGGAGGACACCGAUGGCGAAGG
RNAcentral lists this ribosomal RNA (495 nucleotides) under uncultured Actinomycetes bacterium. RNAcentral describes it as "bacterial SSU rRNA". It matches the Rfam family "Bacterial small subunit ribosomal RNA", at positions 214 to 721 of the family's 1533-position model. Lineage: Bacteria; Bacillati; Actinomycetota; Actinomycetes. The record is from RNAcentral.